This 301-nucleotide ribosomal RNA is filed under the name uncultured bacterium. RNAcentral's name for it is "partial 16S ribosomal RNA". It matches the Rfam family "Bacterial small subunit ribosomal RNA", at positions 509 to 807 of the family's 1533-position model. The record is from RNAcentral.
CAGUAGCCGCGGGAAUACGUAGGUGGCAAGCGUUGUCCGGAAUUAUUGGGCGUAAAGGGCUCGCAGGCGGUUUCUUAAGUCUGAUGUGAAAGCCCCCGGCUCAACCGGGGAGGGUCAUUGGAAACUGGGAAACUUGAGUGCAGAAGAGGAGAGUGGAAUUCCACGUGUAGCGGUGAAAUGCGUAGAGAUGUGGAGGAACACCAGUGGCGAAGGCGACUCUCUGGUCUGCAACUGACGCUGAGGAGCGAAAGCGUGGGGAGCGAACAGGAUUAGAUACCCCCGUAGUCCCUGUCUCUUAUAC